Long non-coding RNA from Magnolia sinica, 1492 nucleotides. RefSeq lists it as uncharacterized. Lineage: Eukaryota; Viridiplantae; Streptophyta; Magnoliopsida; Magnoliales; Magnoliaceae. The transcript has 3 exons. The record is from RefSeq and is a predicted model, not a curated record.
AGAGUAUAAUGACGUAAAGGACAUGCUGGUAGCCAGUGAAUUUGGCUGGGAUAGUGAGCGCAUGAUGGUUACAGCACCUGAUGAUGUAUGGGAAGAGUAUCUUUGGUCACACCCGCGCGUUGAAAGGUUACGAGGCAAUAGAAUAGAGAGAAUGAAUGACUUAGCGGUCAUCGUUGGAUCUAAUCAGGCAACAAGACGUUACGUCCAAGGAAGCAGGAGUAUGGCUGCAUCAUCCUCUCGGGUCCAGCGAGAUCUGAACGAGACGUGGACGGGGAUCGAUGACGAUGUCGAUGACAUGGUUGACCUCUCGGACGAUACUAUAGGCGAAUCAUGGGGAACACUCCAUUUUCAUCCGUCCCAUCGGGUGGGAGAAAUCGGGUGUUUCGCAGUACUCCUGUCCGCACAUCUGAUUCUGAUAGUAAUCGUAGUGGGAGUAGCAUUAAAAAAUGACAGUGACCACCUCGUCCCUGUGAUGUACUUGGCAUCUCUCUUAAUAUUGUAGCAGAUGCAAUGCGUGAUUUCGACCUUGGAAAAGAAGUCAAUCGAAUAAGAAGUCUUGGAUUUGCUAGAGGAGGUGCAAGGGUUGACCAACAGCGAGUUCAUUGAGGUUGGCCAGCUCUUAAGUCGGGACAAGCAACUCGCUUCUUUCUUUGUGAGUUUACGACAUGAGCGCCGUGUAUAUUAGCUAAAGAAAACAAUAUCUGAUAAGUUUGCAUCUGGUGGUGGUGGUUCUGUUUGAUAUAGUUUUUUGAUUUUGGACUUGUAAUAACUUAACUGAUAUUUGGACAUGUUCUAUUUGGUAGACACUACGUAUUAAACUGUUUAAAUUAGAUAUAAUGUGGAAUUUGAACUCUGUUAUUAUAAAAUCGUAGAUUGGUUAUAAUCAUAUGCCCAGAUUGGCUGGGAUGAUGAAUUCGGAUAUUGCCGAAGGAAAUCAUGGUUAGUUGAUAAAUUAGAUGUUUGGCUACUAUCCAAAUCUUAAAGGAUGGGGAAAUAAAAAUAUUACGUUGUACUCGUUGGUCGCAGACCAGACAUUUAUGUAUCUUGGGAGGAGGCCAGAUUAGAGGUAGAAGGCUACAGCGGGAGUCGACAUUGAGCCUUCAAAAACUUGAAAGAAGCAACUGCCUAUUAAGAAAGUCACUAUGACAAUUCAAUUGCCCAACCAACUGCAAGACGAACCACAUAUGAUGGAUGUGUAUCAAGCUCUUCUGACCAUCUCGACACAAGGAGGAUAUAUUGGUCGUCAACCCAACAGAUGUUACGGGCCAUGGUAUCUCGGGCUACUUUGACGGAUGGGACCGAGAUGUCCUUUGGUGAGAGAGUAGCUGCGUUUAUUACGGGCAUCGUGGUUAUGUUCCUCUUCCUGUAUAUUAUUAUUAGACUGUAGUGUAUUUUCCGAUGUAUGUCUGUAGUAAUCCUUGCAAACUCUACUAACACUUAUUCCAGGAUCUCCAUUACAUGAUGCUUUAUGUAAUACUUCUUUUUUGCUUAA